Molecule: ribosomal RNA, 374 nt
Filed under: uncultured organism
Description: partial 16S ribosomal RNA
Rfam family: Bacterial small subunit ribosomal RNA
Source: RNAcentral
GUAGGUGGCAAGCGUUGUCCGGAAUUAUUGGGCGUAAAGCGCGCGCAGGUGGGUUCUUUAAGUCUGAUGUGAAAGACCCCCGGGCUCAACCGGGGAGGGUCAUUGGAAACUGGGGAACUUGAGUGCAGGAGAGGAAAGUGGAAUUCCACGUGUAGCGGUGAAAUGCGUAGAUAUGUGGAGGAACACCAGUGGCGAAGGCGACUUUCUGGCCUGUAACUGACACUGAGGCGCGAAAGCGUGGGGAGCAAACAGGAUUAGAUACCCUGGUAGUCCACGCCGUAAACGAUGAGUGCUAAGUGUUGGGGGGUUUCCGCCCCUCAGUGCUGCAGCUAACGCAUUAAGCACUCCGCCUGGGGAGUACGGUCGCAAGACUG